CGACGCCCCUCCCGGCUUCCUCUUCUCCGCCGCCCUCUCGCUGUUCAUUGCUCCGACGUCUCUCUCCUCUUUCGUUACUCCCUCUUCUCAACCUCCUCACCACUCACUCCCUCGUCGGAGGCAACGGCGGCGACGGCAGCAGCUCUUCUCCGGUAACGGCCGGAUCUCCAGCGGAGGUCUGUUUACCCUAUCGUCAUCAACAAAGUCUGCCAGACCCGAAGUUUACAAUGAACACUCAGCAAGUGGUACAUCCGAG
Molecule: unclassified non-coding RNA, 256 nt
Filed under: Hevea brasiliensis (rubber tree)
Lineage: Eukaryota; Viridiplantae; Streptophyta; Magnoliopsida; Malpighiales; Euphorbiaceae
Source: RNAcentral